UCUUCAUUUUAAGUCUUGCUCUUAGCAUUUGAAACUAUCAAUAGUUAGCUCUAGUGAUUUAUACCUUCUUGUCAAUAACAUAGGUGGAGGUAACUAUCAAUAGUUUGCAAUCUCAUUUUGCAAUAACAUAGGUGGAGGUAACUAUCAAUAGUUUGCAAUCUCAUUUUGUAAUUGGUCCAUAUCAUCAUAUUGUAAUUGGUCCAUAUCAUCAUGUUGUUUGCAAAAUUGCUUAUGCACAAAUGAAUCCAUAGAUAUGAUAAGUGAGCCUUCCUCUUGUCCUUAAUCAGGGUACUUCAGAGCUUUUUGAAUAUUGAAUGUGAUGUGCUAGUCGUUAACCAUCAGGUGCGGCAAUAUUAUUCUUCAUCAAAUUAGUCAAUGUUGCCGUUUGUGCUACAGCUUUUGUGUUUUCACCAACUUCAUGAACUCCAGCCACAGUUCUUUGUUCAUUAACCUUAGCAGUAGGCCACUGAUAGCUAUUUGCUGAUAUGCUCUCAAUGAACUCAGUGCUUCCUCUCACUGAAGAGUAGAUGGAGCCGCCCCUAUGAGAAAUGUUAUCUGUAGGAGGAGAGGGCUAUCAACGAGAAGUAAGCUCCCUAAUUGAUACGUGAUGAUGCAUUGCGGAAUUGAGAGGAAAGGGUUAUCUGUUAGAUGGAGCCACCCCUAAGGGAAAGGCCACCCUUAGAAGGAAAGGGCUAUCAAUGAGAUGAAGCCGCCUCUUAGUUCUAAAAAUAUUGUAUUUUUACUUAUUUGAUUUUUAUGAUGAUUUUAAGAUUGUUCAUUUGGAUUUCGCUUCGUUUUUAACUGAAUUCUUAAAAUUUCUAUAUGAAUAGUUAAAUUAUAAGUUUUACAA
Molecule: non-coding RNA, 850 nt
Organism: Cicer arietinum (chickpea)
Lineage: Eukaryota; Viridiplantae; Streptophyta; Magnoliopsida; Fabales; Fabaceae
Source: RefSeq, a predicted model, not a curated record